GGGGGUGUAGCUCAGUGUAGAGCAUGUGCUUCACAUGCAUGAGGCCCUGGGUUCAAUCCCCAGCACCUCCA
Molecule: non-coding RNA, 71 nt
Organism: Fukomys damarensis (Damara mole-rat)
Lineage: Eukaryota; Metazoa; Chordata; Mammalia; Rodentia; Bathyergidae
Source: Rfam